UUGCUCUCGGGUGACGAGCGGCGGACGGGUGAGUAAUGUCUGGGAAACUGCCUGAUGGAGGGGGAUAACUACUGGAAACGGUAGCUAAUACCGCAUAACGUCGCAAGACCAAAGUGGGGGACCUUCGGGCCUCAUGCCAUCAGAUGUGCCCAGAUGGGAUUAGCUAGUAGGUGGGGUAAUGGCUCACCUAGGCGACGAUCCCUAGCUGGUCUGAGAGGAUGACCAGCCACACUGGAACUGAGACACGGUCCAGACUCCUACGGGAGGCAGCAGUGGGGAAUAUUGCACAAUGGGCGCAAGCCUGAUGCAGCCAUGCCGCGUGUAUGAAGAAGGCCUUCGGGUUGUAAAGUACUUUCAGCGAGGAGGAAGGCGUUAAGGUUAAUAACCUUAGCGAUUGACGUUACUCGCAGAAGAAGCACCGGCUAACUCCGUGCCAGCAGCCGCGGUAAUACGGAGGGUGCWASMGWUAAUCGGAWUUACUGRGCGWAAAGCGCACGCAGGCGGUCUGUCAAGUCGGAUGUGAAAUCMCCGGGCUCAACCUGGGAACUGCAUUCGAAACUGGCAGGCUAGAGUCUUGUAGAGGGGGGUAGAAUUCCAGGUGUAGCGGUGAAAUGCGUAGAGAUCUGGAGGAAUACCGGUGGCGAAGGCGGCCCCCUGGACAAAGACUGACGCUCAGGUGCGAAAGCGUGGGGAGCAAACAGGAUUAGAUACCCUGGUAGUCCACGCCGUAAACGAUGUCGACUUGGAGGUUGUGCCCUUGAGGCGUGGCUUCCGGAGCUAACGCGUUAAGUCGACCGCCUGGGGAGUACGGCCGCAAGGUUAAAACUCAAAUGAAUUGACGGGGGCCCGCACAAGCGGUGGAGCAUGUGGUUUAAUUCGAUGCAACGCGAAGAACCUUACCUACUCUUGACAUCCAGAGAACUUAGCAGAGAUGCUUUGGUGCCUUCGGGAACUCUGAGACAGGUGCUGCAUGGCUGUCGUCAGCUCGUGUUGUGAAAUGUUGGGUUAAGUCCCGCAACGAGCGCAACCCUUAUCCUUUGUUGCCAGCGGUCCGGCCGGGAACUCAAAGGAGACUGCCAGUGAUAAACUGGAGGAAGGUGGGGAUGACGUCAAGUCAUCAUGGCCCUUACGAGUAGGGCUACACACGUGCUACAAUGGCAUAUACAAAGAGAAGCGACCUCGCGAGAGCAAGCGGACCUCAUAAAGUAUGUCGUAGUCCGGAUUGGAGUCUGCAACUCGACUCCAUGAAGUCGGAAUCGCUAGUAAUCGUAGAUCAGAAUGCUACGGUGAAUACGUUCCCGGGCCUUGUACACACCGCCCGUCACACCAUGGGAGUGGGUUGCAAAAGAAGU
RNAcentral lists this ribosomal RNA (1352 nucleotides) under Klebsiella sp. RNAcentral's name for it is "bacterial SSU rRNA". The record is from RNAcentral. Lineage: Bacteria; Pseudomonadati; Pseudomonadota; Gammaproteobacteria; Enterobacterales; Enterobacteriaceae.